Molecule: non-coding RNA, 140 nt
Organism: Oryza brachyantha (malo sina)
Lineage: Eukaryota; Viridiplantae; Streptophyta; Magnoliopsida; Poales; Poaceae
Source: Rfam
AAAUGCCAUUUGGUAUCUGACACUUAGUCUUCUCUUGUGACUAUUUGUCUCGAAACGUGGCAUAUAAGAAAGGGGAACGAACCUUGCGACAUUGGUGGCUCCUCUAUGAUCCUCCAAUUACUAUAUAGCCGUUUACAUUU